Molecule: long non-coding RNA, 146 nt
Organism: Solanum tuberosum (potato)
Lineage: Eukaryota; Viridiplantae; Streptophyta; Magnoliopsida; Solanales; Solanaceae
Exons: 3
Source: RefSeq, a predicted model, not a curated record
UAAAACAGAUGGCUCUCCAACUGAUGAUGUCAUCACCUUUGGAGAUAAAGGGUCCAAGAAAUACAACCUCACUUUCUCAAUCAGAGAACUUUGAGGAUUAUGAAGUUUCCUUCAAAUUAUGUCCGUUACUCAACCUCGAGUGGCAA